Molecule: ribosomal RNA, 247 nt
Filed under: uncultured bacterium
Lineage: Bacteria
Description: partial 16S ribosomal RNA
Rfam family: Bacterial small subunit ribosomal RNA
Source: RNAcentral
AUACGUAGGUGGCAAGCGUUGUCCGGAAUUACUGGGCGUAAAGGGCGUGUAGGCGGCCAUUUAAGUCAGAUGCGAAACUCCCGAGCUUAACUUGGGAACUGCAUUUGAAACUGGGUGGCUUGAGGACCGGAGAGGGCAGUGGAAUUCCCAGUGUAGCGGUGAAAUGCGUAGAUAUUGGGAGGAACACCAGUGGCGAAGGCGACUGCCUGGACGGCACCUGACGCUGAGGCGCGAAAGCUAGGGGAGC